AGGCUGUGAAGAGGAAUAGUAUAUACCAUCAAACUAUGAAAGCUCUCUUAUUUGGAGGGAUGCUUGUUGAUGCAAUCAUAUCUAACCCAGCUCUCUGAGCCU
Small nucleolar RNA from Cephalotus follicularis, 102 nucleotides. It matches the Rfam family "small nucleolar RNA snoR116". The record is from Rfam. NCBI's taxonomy places the organism in Eukaryota, Viridiplantae, Streptophyta, Magnoliopsida, Oxalidales, Cephalotaceae.